This is a long non-coding RNA of Condylostylus longicornis, 714 nucleotides long. RefSeq lists it as uncharacterized. NCBI's taxonomy places the organism in Eukaryota, Metazoa, Arthropoda, Insecta, Diptera, Dolichopodidae. The transcript is spliced from 3 exons. The record is from RefSeq and is a predicted model, not a curated record.
AUGUCCGAGUGAUAAAUUGAUGUUAGUACAGGCGCAGAUUUAAUUACGGGGACAGAAUUGAAGUUUAAAAAGAAAAAAUUUAAAAUUUAUUUUAUUUUAUAUAAAUAAAAAGUUUUUAAAAACGAAAUAACCCAAAUUAAUGUCUUGGAUGAUGGUUUAAAUUGUUAUAGUAAAUACAAUUAUAUUUAAUAUUUGGUCUUUAGGAAAAAAAAUCUCAAGAGUACAUACACAUGUAUGUAAUCAUCUUAAAUUAUUGUUUAUUUUUUUUUUGUGAAAACAGAAGUGGAACACAAAGACAAAUUGUAUUUGUGUUUAAAUUUUAAAAGCAGAUAGAAAUAGAGAAAAAAUAGAUAAAAAAAAAAGCAGCUUUUUGUAUCUUUUAAAGGAAGGAUAAUAACAAUUACCGUUUCAUAUACAAAUUUAUUUUAAUAUAUAAUAUACGUAUAUUAUUACAAAACUUGAACUCAAAAUGGCGGAAGUAUUGAGUAAUCCCAAUUCAGAUGUAACUGCUGCAACUGUAGUACAAGGAAAUGUUGAUGAAACUUCCGAAGUUCAUAAUAAUCAUCAACAACAAAAAGGUUUGUAUAAAUUGUGGAACGAUUUGAAGUGGAAUAUAUUUACGUAUGAAAGAAACAUGGCUUCUUAAAGGAUAAAUUUUUAAAGACAAUAUGAGAAUAAUCUUAAAGAAUAAUUUUAAAUACAAUUAGAAAUAUG